AGUGAACGCUGGCGGUAGGCCUAACACAUGCAAGUCGAACGACAGCACAGUAAGAGCUUGCUCUUACGGGUGGCGAGUGGCGGACGGGUGAGGAAUACAUCGGAAUCUACUUUUUCGUGGGGGAUAACGUAGGGAAACUUACGCUAAUACCGCAUACGACCUACGGGUGAAAGCAGGGGAUCUUCGGACCUUGCGCGAUUGAAUGAGCCGAUGUCGGAUUAGCUAGUUGGCGGGGUAAAGGCCCACCAAGGCGACGAUCCGUAGCUGGUCUGAGAGGAUGAUCAGCCACACUGGAACUGAGACACGGUCCAGACUCCUACGGGAGGCAGCAGUGGGGAAUAUUGGACAAUGGGCGCAAGCCUGAUCCAGCCAUACCGCGUGGGUGAAGAAGGCCUUCGGGUUGUAAAGCCCUUUUGUUGGGAAAGAAAAGCAGCAGGUUAAUACCCCGCUGUUCGGACGGUACCCAAAGAAUAAGCACCGGCUAACUUCGU
This 491-nucleotide ribosomal RNA is filed under the name uncultured bacterium. RNAcentral describes it as "partial 16S ribosomal RNA". It matches the Rfam family "Bacterial small subunit ribosomal RNA", at positions 29 to 506 of the family's 1533-position model. The record is from RNAcentral.